Molecule: ribosomal RNA, 445 nt
Filed under: uncultured Leptolinea sp.
Lineage: Bacteria; Bacillati; Chloroflexota; Anaerolineae; Anaerolineales; Anaerolineaceae
Description: bacterial SSU rRNA
Rfam family: Bacterial small subunit ribosomal RNA
Source: RNAcentral
GCACAAGCAGCGGAGCGUGUGGUUUAAUUCGAUGCUACACGAAGAACCUUACCAGGGUUUGACAUACAAGUAGUAGGGAAAGGAAACUGGACCGACCUUCGGGGAGCUUGUACAGGUGCUGCAUGGCUGUCGUCAGCUCGUGUCGUGAGAUGUUCGGUUAAGUCCGCUAACGAGCGCAACCCUCGCUGUGUGUUACAAGUGUCACACGGUACUGCCGGUCUUAAGCCGGAGGAAGGUGGGGAUGACGUCAAGUCAGCAUGGCCUUUAUGUCCUGGGCUACACACACGCUACAAUGGCCAACACAAUAGGUUGCUAAGCCGCGAGGUGGAGCCAAUCCUCAAAGUUGGUCUCAGUUCAGAUUGCAGGCUGCAACCCGCCUGCAUGAAGAUGGAGUUGCUAGUAACCGCAGGUCAGCAAUACUGCGGUGAAUACGUUCCCGGGUCUU